AAGGUUGACCUUAAGCCUCU
This 20-nucleotide small nuclear RNA is filed under the name Arabidopsis thaliana (thale cress). RNAcentral describes it as "snRNA_11262". Lineage: Eukaryota; Viridiplantae; Streptophyta; Magnoliopsida; Brassicales; Brassicaceae. The record is from RNAcentral.